This 360-nucleotide long non-coding RNA is filed under the name Manihot esculenta (cassava). Its description in RNAcentral is "long non-coding RNA (MESC_LNC007396)". Lineage: Eukaryota; Viridiplantae; Streptophyta; Magnoliopsida; Malpighiales; Euphorbiaceae. The record is from RNAcentral.
UUGCCUCUGUAGCUGUUGUUUGGGUAAAAUGGGUAGAAAAUCCACAGCCCGUAGACACCCAUACUUUAGAGGUCAAUCCAGUAGACAGUCUGAGGCUCCUAGGUCCCCCUCCCCAGACCCUCCUGCCUCUCCCCCCUUUGAGUUUCCUGUAGUUAGAGAGGAGGAUCCAGCUUUUCAGCCUUUUUCUCUCAGGUUUGUUCAUCCUGGGAGAACUGUUCAUGCUAAUAGUGUUCAGCUCUUUCGCUCUCAGGGAUUCCUUCAGCCCUUCAGAGUCCAGGGUUGGGAGCACCUUCUUAUCACUCCAUCAGACACCCAUCCUAGGAUUGUUAGGGAGUUCUAUGCAAACCUACACACCUUUAC